Molecule: ribosomal RNA, 253 nt
Filed under: uncultured bacterium
Lineage: Bacteria
Description: partial 16S ribosomal RNA
Rfam family: Bacterial small subunit ribosomal RNA
Source: RNAcentral
UACGUAGGGGGCAAGCGUUGUCCGGAUUUAUUGGGCGUAAAGAGCGUGUAGGCGGCUAGGUAGGUCCGUUGUGAAAACUCGAGGCUCAACCUCGAGACGCCGGUGGAAACCAUCUAGCUAGAGUCCGGAAGAGGAGAGUGGAAUUCCUGGUGUAGCGGUGAAAUGCGCAGAUAUCAGGAAGAACACCCGUGGCGAAGGCGGCUCUCUGGGACGUGACUGACGCUGAGACGCGAAAGCGUGGGGAGCAAACAGG